This 256-nucleotide long non-coding RNA is filed under the name Hordeum vulgare. RNAcentral's name for it is "long non-coding RNA (HVUL_LNC016571)". Lineage: Eukaryota; Viridiplantae; Streptophyta; Magnoliopsida; Poales; Poaceae. The record is from RNAcentral.
AGUGGCGUCGUGUUGCGUUUCAGUGAUUGAGCGGCGUCGAUGAGAAGCACACCAGACACCGGUGGUGCUGUCGUCCUGUUGAACCUUUCAACAUGACGAUGAGAAAGGAGUUGAACCUUUUUAUAAAAAAUUCUCUUUCGCAUGUUAUUGAAGCUUGAUAAGAGAAGUGAACUUUGCUCGCUCUGCACGCCGCGCCGCGCGAUCGAGCUGAACUUGUACCUACGCGUUUAUGUUUGCUGGUCGGGAAUAAAAAAAA